AUGAAAUAUGUCAUUAAAGUUCUAGGUAUGAAUGACUGUUUUAGUUUUAAGUAACAAUAAAGUGUCGUCGGAAAUAUUUUGGAAGGUAGAUUUUUGUAGACUACUCAGUACGAAGGAGGAAAACCAUGUCUAAGAAUUAACUCUUUCGAAACAACCAAACAAAGUAUGGCAACCCUGCGGCGAGACAAUAGCCACGCCAGACGCCAGAGAAUCGUACGAUACCUGGCAUGCAAAAAUGGAGGUGUCAUACGAUCGAAGUAACCAAUGGCAGGCUUGGAGAGUUGCGCGCUCGCUGCCGCGCCGUAGUGGGAGAGAAAUGUCGGACCGAGAUGCAAAGUGCAGUAAACAGUUUAGAAUUCAGAUAACUGUGAGUUAUCUCUGAUGUUUACAAGAUAACUUUAUCUCGUAAUGUGAAUUCGGUCAAAGAUUAUUCGGAAGUUAUGCAUUUUGUAUAGCAUUACGUUCUCACUCAAUUAUUAUUCCUGAUUAUUUUGGGUUAUAAAUGUGAGGUGUUAUAAAAGGUUCUUAUGGAAUAUUAUACUGUAUCUGUAGUAGGCUAUGGCAUUACUACUUUUCCACAUAUAAAACAAAGCAUUUUUAAGCAUAAAUAUAUCUAAAUAUUCAAUUAA
Molecule: long non-coding RNA, 629 nt
Organism: Manduca sexta (tobacco hornworm)
Lineage: Eukaryota; Metazoa; Arthropoda; Insecta; Lepidoptera; Sphingidae
Exons: 2
Source: RefSeq, a predicted model, not a curated record